AGUAGAUCGCCAGCCAUUUGCCAUUUGCAGUGCUGUAAAUAAUCGAAAUUAUUAUCAAAAUAUAAUCUUAAAAUUUUAUUGUAUUAUCAAAAUAAUAAAUACAUAUUCCAAUGUCCUCACUGAAAGCAAAAGAUAAGUCAGAGCCAGUGGCAUAUAGCGAAGCAGCUUUAAGAAACAAUGCAGUGGUUGUGGAAUAUUGUAGAACUUCGAUGGCUGCGUUGUCAGGUUCUACUGCAGGAGUGCUCGGCCUUACGGUAUCUAUGGGUUUGCAUUCUACGUAUUUGCAGUGGUCAUCCUUUGGGUGAUGUUCAUGUUGAAAUCAGGUUCCAAUUGGUUAAAUAUUAUGUGUCAAGACAAAGCUUAUUGACAAAUGGAUUCUUGAGCUCUAUUUACCUAUGUACUAUUCUGGACAUUUAUAUAUGGGAUGGUGCAUGUAUAUUAGCUGAAAUAAAUAAUAAUUUGUAUUUAUAAA
Manduca sexta (tobacco hornworm) is the source of this 472-nucleotide RNA transcript. RefSeq lists it as uncharacterized. NCBI's taxonomy places the organism in Eukaryota, Metazoa, Arthropoda, Insecta, Lepidoptera, Sphingidae. The record is from RefSeq and is a predicted model, not a curated record. The transcript has 2 exons.